This is a transfer RNA of Lasius niger, 74 nucleotides long. It matches the Rfam family "tRNA". Rfam says of the family: Transfer RNA (tRNA) molecules are approximately 80 nucleotides in length. Their secondary structure includes four short double-helical elements and three loops (D, anti-codon, and T loops). The record is from Rfam. NCBI's taxonomy places the organism in Eukaryota, Metazoa, Arthropoda, Insecta, Hymenoptera, Formicidae.
GGAGCUGUCGCCAAGUUUGGUAAGGCAGGAGUCUGCAAAACUCUCAUUCGUCGGUUCAAAUCCGUCCAGCUCCU